This 285-nucleotide long non-coding RNA is filed under the name Setaria viridis. Its description in RNAcentral is "long non-coding RNA (SVIR_LNC009387)". The record is from RNAcentral. Lineage: Eukaryota; Viridiplantae; Streptophyta; Magnoliopsida; Poales; Poaceae.
GAGUAUGUCGUUACACAACCAUUGUAGCAAGAAUACAAAACUCGCAUAUCUCCAUACGCACAUAUCCCGAAUCCAUAACAAAACAGCUACAGCUCUGAUACCACUGUAGGGCUACGAGGUAGGCUACGCUAGCAUAAAAUAAAAGUUUUUCUACCGUGUAAACCAGGAAAACUGUUGUAUAUGGAUCACGGGAUUACCACUCGACGCACUGGUGCGGAAGAUGUAGAAUCGUGUCGGGGCAGCAAAGUCGAUCAGCGUAGUUGAACACGUAGUCGAUCACGUCGA